This 309-nucleotide ribosomal RNA is filed under the name Triticum aestivum (bread wheat). RNAcentral's name for it is "partial small subunit ribosomal RNA". Lineage: Eukaryota; Viridiplantae; Streptophyta; Magnoliopsida; Poales; Poaceae. The record is from RNAcentral.
AUGAAAGAAGGAUCUGCCCAGGUUGUAGAAUCCUUCAUCGCUAGGAGAGAAGGACAACAUGGCGGCUCCCAAGAACAAAUAGGAGAAGAGAAGAGGCUUAGAGAUCACAAAAAAGACAAUAAAAAAAGUAGAUCAAAGACCAGGCAGGAUCUUCUUCUUCCUCACGAAAGAAGGAUCUGCCCAGUUUGCGGGACCUUCAUCGCCAGAACAAAAGAACAAGAGAAGAGAAGAGGGCUUAGAAAUCAGAGAGAAGACCAGAAAAAGCCAGAUCAGAAGAGAGGAGGGACGAAAAAGAAAACCUACCUCUAG